RNAcentral lists this long non-coding RNA (400 nucleotides) under Theobroma cacao (cacao). RNAcentral's name for it is "long non-coding RNA (TCAC_LNC000699)". Lineage: Eukaryota; Viridiplantae; Streptophyta; Magnoliopsida; Malvales; Malvaceae. The record is from RNAcentral.
CUGUUUUUAUAGGAAAGCCAUUCUCUGUAUCUAGUUCACAAUAUAAAACACCUUGGGACUUUGGAUUCUCAGACUGAUGUAGUUCACUGUCGUGCUUUCCUUGAUCUACUUCCUCUUGGAGCUGGGAGACUUGAGUUCUAUCUGCCAGGUUUUUUCUGGAUAAUUCAUCUUCAGACUGAUGAAGUACACUGUCGUGCUUUCCUUGAUUUACUUCAUCUUGAAGCUGCAAGACUUGAGUUCUAUCUGCCAGGUUUUUUCUUGAUAAUUCAUCUUCAGAUGAGGUUGACAAUUUGUCUGUCGGAUCUACACCCCCUUGAAGCCUGGAGACUUGAGCUCUAUCUAUCUGGCUUUCCCUUGAUAAAUUGUCUUCAGAUGAGGUCGAUGAUAUUGAUGCCUGGAC